AGAAGCGUCUUAGUCAUGCUGGCCACAUGACCCGGAAGCUGUCUGCGGACAAACACCGGCUCCCUCGGCCUAUAGAGCAAGAUGAGCGUGCAACCCCAGAGUCGUCCGCUACUGGACCUAACGGCCAGGGGUACCUUUACCUUUACCUUUACUGAUUAAAAGGCAGGCGGAGCUCCUGAACGUGCAUCUUCCACACCAUAUACCACUUGAUCUACAGACUUGGGAGGACACCUUUCCAUUUGGAGGCAGGUCUGGGGAUCACCAUCUAAAUGCAAGCAUUGUCCCAGUCUAUUAACUUUUUGGGACCCUAACCAGAGUAAGUAAAAGGGACAGGACCGAGCAGGCAAGUAGAAGCAGCUCCAAUCUAUCCAUCAUCUCUCUUGCCAGCCCUGGUUGGAGGCAGCGCCCUGCUCACAACUUCCUGCCUGCCUCUCUCCAUACCAAUUUUCCCUGCAAUUAGACUACAGUAGUACCUUGGGUUACAUACGCUUCAGGUUACAGACUCCGCUAACCCAGAAAUAGUACCUCGGGUUAAGAACUUUGCUUCAGGAUGAGAACAGAAAUUGCGCCGUGGUGGCGCGGCAGCAGCGGGAGGCCCCAUUAGCUAAAGUGAUGCUUCAGGUUAAGAACAGUUUCAGGUUAAGAACGAACCUCCGGAACAAAUUAAGUACGUAACCAGAGGUACCACUGUAGUAAGGUUUAUGUGCAACAUUUGUACACCAUCCAAAGAUGCACAUCAGUACUUCCAUUGCCUCUCUCUCAAUUCGAGGCAGCCCACUCCCCUUUUAUGCAUGUGCAGGACAGGAGGGGGGGUUGCAUCCCCCCCCAUCUUCCCGUUUCCUGCUCGACUGCAGGCUGCCACUAUCCUUAAGAGUCUGCUGUACGAAGGGCAAAACACUGCAGCCUUUCAACAUGACAAGCAGAAGAGAUAGCAAGGCUCCAACUCCCUGCCUGUGGCUGGAAAAACACGCCCCCCCCCCAUGAAUUUCUAUUCCCGGGGACCUGCGAGAGAGGAGGAGCCAUCCCAUACCCAGACUGUCCUCGGAACCUCCGGGGAAUAACAUAAUUAUCAUGUUGGCCAACAGGGAAACGGUUUCCAGGUUCUCGUUUCUCCGGCGAUGGACUAAUUUGCGACCAACACUAACGUGGGGAGGAAAAUGAUUUCGAAACGAGAAUUUAAUUUGAUUAGGGGUUCUGCUAAAACUUCAGGGCUGCCAAUUCCAGCCUUUUGAGAACUGUGUAAAUGUGUUUUUUCCCCAGAGGUUUGGGGGUAUGGGGGGAAUUAGAGUGGUAGAAGAAGUAACAUUUGACAUCAUUGCCCCUUCCUCAUAUUCUGGUGAGGAAUUUGCUUCCUCCUUACUUUGAAUUAUGCAUACAUAAUUCCUGGAUUACUGGAAUGUACCGUAUUUUUUGCUCUAUAAGACUCACUUUUUCCCUCCUAAAAAGUAAGGGGAAAUGUGUGUGCAUCUUAUGGAGCGAAUGCAGGCUGCACAGCUAUCCCAGAAGCCAGAACAGCAAGAGGGAUUGCUGCUUUCACUGCGCAGUGAUCCCUCUUGCUGUUCUGGCUUCUGAGAUUCAGAAUAUUUUUUUUCUUGUUUUCCUCCUCCAAAAACUAGGUGCGUGCGUCUUGUGGUCUGGUGCGUUUUAUCGAGCGAAAAAUACGGUAACUUCCUCCUUUUUCUCCCUAUGUAGUCUCCUCCUCCUGGGGUGUGGCUGUCCUCUCUUGCCAGCUACACUCUGAAUUUCCUCUGGCACGCUGCUCCUGCUCUCCCUGUUCUUUCCCUCAGUGUCUCUCCUGCAACAACACCCUUCCCUGUGACUGGCUGAAUAAAACCACUUAACAAGGGAUAACUGCCAAAAUGGGCUUGUGACCACUUGGUAAGGUGUCCCUCUGUGCUGCCUCACCUUUUCUGGGGAAUAUUUCCUGUAAAAUCUCUCCAGGCUGGUUAGCCCAGCUUACCCCACCCGCCUGCUAGGACCUACUAAUAAACCAGCCGUUUUUAAAGAGAGAAGGAAUGUGAUAAUCUUAUCAGCCUAUGGAGUUGUGUAUUCCUGA
Non-coding RNA from Podarcis lilfordi (Lilford's wall lizard), 2056 nucleotides. NCBI's taxonomy places the organism in Eukaryota, Metazoa, Chordata, Lepidosauria, Squamata, Lacertidae. The record is from the annotation of a GenBank genome assembly.